ACCCCGAGUUUUCCUUUCAGGAAGAAGGUGAGUGCCGACCCUAAGUCCGCCUCGCCCGACCCCUCCUAUCCGCCCGACCCCAGUUCCGUCUCGUCCGACCCUGUCUGUUCGCCGACCCUUGUCCGCCUCGCCCGAGGGCUUGGCUGUGAUCUUUUUCUUCAACUCGAGGGUGUAUGUGUAAAACGUGGGAACCCUUCAGCGCCUACGUCUGAGGAUCCCAGUUAUCACAUCCUCUAGUUCAAGGAUCAGACCACUAGUUCCCUUCCUACCCUUACCUGUUGAUCAUCAUCAGCUCUCUCAAACAGCCUCAACCUCCUGCUCUUUGUCGC
This 329-nucleotide long non-coding RNA is filed under the name Setaria viridis. RNAcentral's name for it is "long non-coding RNA (SVIR_LNC009293)". The record is from RNAcentral. Lineage: Eukaryota; Viridiplantae; Streptophyta; Magnoliopsida; Poales; Poaceae.